GGGCAUUGACGAUUUCAUCUUGAAAGGUCUCGUUCGUCGUAACUGGCUCUUUAAAGGCCUUGACGACCAUCCUGAUAUAUUCCGAGGCC
Non-coding RNA from Populus trichocarpa (black cottonwood), 89 nucleotides. The record is from Rfam. Lineage: Eukaryota; Viridiplantae; Streptophyta; Magnoliopsida; Malpighiales; Salicaceae.